Molecule: ribosomal RNA, 2906 nt
Filed under: Klebsiella michiganensis
Lineage: Bacteria; Pseudomonadati; Pseudomonadota; Gammaproteobacteria; Enterobacterales; Enterobacteriaceae
Description: 23S ribosomal RNA
Rfam family: Bacterial large subunit ribosomal RNA
Source: RNAcentral
GGUUAAGCGACUAAGCGUACACGGUGGAUGCCCUGGCAGUCAGAGGCGAUGAAGGACGUGCUAAUCUGCGAAAAGCGUCGGUAAGGUGAUAUGAACCGUUACAGCCGGCGAUGUCCGAAUGGGGAAACCCAGUGCAAUUCGUUGCACUAUCGUUAACUGAAUACAUAGGUUAACGAGGCGAACCGGGGGAACUGAAACAUCUAAGUACCCCGAGGAAAAGAAAUCAACCGAGAUUCCCCCAGUAGCGGCGAGCGAACGGGGAGCAGCCCGGAGUCUGAAUCAGCUUGUGUGUUAGUGGAAGCGUCUGGAAAGUCGCAGGGUACAGGGUGAUACUCCCGUACACUAAAACGCACAGGUUGUGAACUCGAAGAGUAGGGCGGGACACGUGGUAUCCUGUCUGAAUAUGGGGGGACCAUCCUCCAAGGCUAAAUACUCCUGACUGACCGAUAGUGAACCAGUACCGUGAGGGAAAGGCGAAAAGAACCCCGGCGAGGGGAGUGAAAAAGAACCUGAAACCGUGUACGUACAAGCAGUAGGAGCCCACUUGUUGGGUGACUGCGUACCUUUUGUAUAAUGGGUCAGCGACUUAUAUUCUGUAGCAAGGUUAACCGUAUAGGGGAGCCGCAGGGAAACCGAGUCUUAACUGGGCGUUAAGUUGCAGGGUAUAGACCCGAAACCCGGUGAUCUAGCCAUGGGCAGGUUGAAGGUUGGGUAACACUAACUGGAGGACCGAACCGACUAAUGUUGAAAAAUUAGCGGAUGACUUGUGGCUGGGGGUGAAAGGCCAAUCAAACCGGGAGAUAGCUGGUUCUCCCCGAAAGCUAUUUAGGUAGCGCCUCGUGAACUCAUCUUCGGGGGUAGAGCACUGUUUCGGCUAGGGGGUCAUCCCGACUUACCAACCCGAUGCAAACUACGAAUACCGAAGAAUGUUAUCACGGGAGACACACGGCGGGUGCUAACGUCCGUCGUGAAGAGGGAAACAACCCAGACCGCCAGCUAAGGUCCCAAAGUCAUGGUUAAGUGGGAAACGAUGUGGGAAGGCCCAGACAGCCAGGAUGUUGGCUUAGAAGCAGCCAUCAUUUAAAGAAAGCGUAAUAGCUCACUGGUCGAGUCGGCCUGCGCGGAAGAUGUAACGGGGCUAAACCAUGCACCGAAGCUGCGGCAGCGACACUAUGUGUUGUUGGGUAGGGGAGCGUUCUGUAAGCCGUUGAAGGUGGCCUGUGAGGGUUGCUGGAGGUAUCAGAAGUGCGAAUGCUGACAUAAGUAACGAUAAUGCGGGUGAAAAACCCGCACGCCGGAAGACCAAGGGUUCCUGUCCAACGUUAAUCGGGGCAGGGUGAGUCGACCCCUAAGGCGAGGCCGAAAGGCGUAGUCGAUGGGAAACAGGUUAAUAUUCCUGUACUCGGUGUUACUGCGAAGGGGGGACGGAGAAGGCUAUGUUGGCCGGGCGACGGUUGUCCCGGUUUAAGCAUGUAGGCGGAUGUUCCAGGUAAAUCCGGAACGUCACUAACGCUGAGGUGUGAUGACGAGGCACUACGGUGCUGAAGUGACAAAUGCCCUGCUUCCAGGAAAAGCCUCUAAGCAUCAGGUAACAUCAAAUCGUACCCCAAACCGACACAGGUGGUCAGGUAGAGAAUACCAAGGCGCUUGAGAGAACUCGGGUGAAGGAACUAGGCAAAAUGGUGCCGUAACUUCGGGAGAAGGCACGCUGAUGGUAGGUGAAGUGACUUGCUCAUGGAGCUGAAAUCAGUCGAAGAUACCAGCUGGCUGCAACUGUUUAUUAAAAACACAGCACUGUGCAAACACGAAAGUGGACGUAUACGGUGUGACGCCUGCCCGGUGCCGGAAGGUUAAUUGAUGGGGUUAUCCUCGCGGAGAAGCUCUUGAUCGAAGCCCCGGUAAACGGCGGCCGUAACUAUAACGGUCCUAAGGUAGCGAAAUUCCUUGUCGGGUAAGUUCCGACCUGCACGAAUGGCGUAAUGAUGGCCAGGCUGUCUCCACCCGAGACUCAGUGAAAUUGAACUCGCUGUGAAGAUGCAGUGUACCCGCGGCAAGACGGAAAGACCCCGUGAACCUUUACUAUAGCUUGACACUGAACACUGGUCCUUGAUGUGUAGGAUAGGUGGGAGGCUUUGAAGUGUGGACGCCAGUCUGCAUGGAGCCAUCCUUGAAAUACCACCCUUUAAUGGCUGGUGUUCUAACGUGGGCCCCUAAUCGGGGUUGCGGACAGUGUCUGGUGGGUAGUUUGACUGGGGCGGUCUCCUCCUAAAGAGUAACGGAGGAGCACGAAGGUCAGCUAAUCCUGGUCGGACAUCAGGAGGUUAGUGCAAUGGCAUAAGCUGGCUUGACUGCGAGCGUGACGGCGCGAGCAGGUGCGAAAGCAGGUCAUAGUGAUCCGGUGGUUCUGAAUGGAAGGGCCAUCGCUCAACGGAUAAAAGGUACUCCGGGGAUAACAGGCUGAUACCGCCCAAGAGUUCAUAUCGACGGCGGUGUUUGGCACCUCGAUGUCGGCUCAUCACAUCCUGGGGCUGAAGUAGGUCCCAAGGGUAUGGCUGUUCGCCAUUUAAAGUGGUACGCGAGCUGGGUUUAGAACGUCGUGAGACAGUUCGGUCCCUAUCUGCCGUGGGCGCUGGAGAAUUGAGGGGGGCUGCUCCUAGUACGAGAGGACCGGAGUGGACGCAUCACUGGUGUUCGGGUUGUCAUGCCAAUGGCAUUGCCCGGUAGCUAAAUGCGGAAGAGAUAAGUGCUGAAAGCAUCUAAGCACGAAACUUGCCCCGAGAUGAGUUCUCCCUGACCCUUUAAGGGUCCUGAAGGAACGUUGAAGACGACGACGUUGAUAGGCCGGGUGUGUAAGCGCAGCGAUGCGUUGAGCUAACCGGUACUAAUGAACCGUGAGGCUUAACCUU